This 28-nucleotide small RNA is filed under the name Bombyx mori (domestic silkworm). Its description in RNAcentral is "ovarian small RNA-12673". Lineage: Eukaryota; Metazoa; Arthropoda; Insecta; Lepidoptera; Bombycidae. The record is from RNAcentral.
AUUACGUAUAUGGAUGGGACAACAAAGA